GAUGAACGCUGGCGGCGUGCCUAAUACAUGCAAGACGAGCGAACAGACGAGGAGCUUGCUCCUCUGACGUUAGCGGCGGACGGGUGAGUAACACGUGGAUAACCUACCUAUAAGACUGGGAUAACUUCGGGAAACCGGAGCUAAUACCGGAUAAUAUAUUGAACCGCAUGGUUCAAUAGUGAAAGACGGUUUUGCUGUCACUUAUAGAUGGAUCCGCGCCGCAUUAGCUAGUUGGUAAGGUAACGGCUUACCAAGGCAACGAUGCGUAGCCGACCUGAGAGGGUGAUCGGCCACACUGGAACUGAGACACGGUCCAGACUCCUACGGGAGGCAGCAGUAGGGAAUCUUCCGCAAUGGGCGAAAGCUUGACGGAGCAACGCCGCGUGAGUGAUGAAGGUCUUCGGAUCGUAAAACUCUGUUAUUAGGGAAGAACAAAUGUGUAAGUAACUAUGCACGUCUUGACGGUACCUAAUCAGAAAGCCACGGCUAACUACGUG
This 497-nucleotide ribosomal RNA is filed under the name uncultured bacterium. Its description in RNAcentral is "partial 16S ribosomal RNA". It matches the Rfam family "Bacterial small subunit ribosomal RNA", at positions 28 to 507 of the family's 1533-position model. The record is from RNAcentral.